Ficedula albicollis (Collared flycatcher) is the source of this 232-nucleotide long non-coding RNA. RefSeq lists it as uncharacterized. The record is from RefSeq and is a predicted model, not a curated record. Lineage: Eukaryota; Metazoa; Chordata; Aves; Passeriformes; Muscicapidae. The transcript is spliced from 3 exons.
CACACAAAGAAAACUUUUUCACAUAAUUGUCUUCAUUAAGUGAAAUCAUCAGGGCGGUUGCAGAUGCCAGGGGCUCUCAGAAGGCAGAGGGGGCCUGGCCCAGCGCCCCGCAGCGGCCUGGCCUGCAACGGGAGCGAAGUGGGGCCCGCGGAAGUGGAUCUGAGGAGCAGGAGCCAUCAGACCUCAGGUUUCCUUUUUCCCCGAGAUGGAAACUCAGCAGCUCUCAGAGAGG